This 497-nucleotide ribosomal RNA is filed under the name uncultured bacterium. RNAcentral's name for it is "partial 16S ribosomal RNA". It matches the Rfam family "Bacterial small subunit ribosomal RNA", at positions 28 to 507 of the family's 1533-position model. The record is from RNAcentral.
GAUGAACGCUGGCGGCGUGCCUUAUACAUGCAAGUCGAACGAACAGACGAGAUCCUUGCUCCUCUGAUGUUAGCGGGGGAAGGAAGACUAAGACAUGGAUCACCUAGCUAUAGGACAGGGAGAAAUUCGUGUAACAGGAGCUCAUACCGGCUGAUGUUUUGAACAGCAUGCUUCAAGAGUGAAAGACGGUCUUGCUGUCGCUUAUAGAUGGAUCAGUGGUGCAUUAGCUAGUUGGUAAGGUAAAGGCUUACCAAGGCGACGAUGCAUAGCCGGACUGAGAGGAUGAUCGGCCACACUGGGACUGAGACACGGUCCAGACUCCUACGGGAGGCAGCAGUAGGGAAUCUUCCGCAAUGGGCGAAAGCCUGACGGAGCAAUGCCGCGUGAAUGAUGAAGGCCUUCGGGUCGUAAACCGCUUUUGUUAGGGACGAACAGAUUUGUAAGUAACCAGGCGGGUCAUGACGGUACCUUAUCAGAAAGCCCCGGCUAACUACGUG